UACGUAGGGGGCAAGCGUUGUCCGGAUUUAUUGGGCGUAAAGAGCGUGUAGGCGGUUCAGGUAGGUCCGUUGUGAAAACUCGGAGGCUCAACCUCGAGACGCCGAUGGAAACCAUCUGACUAGAGUCCGGAAGAGGAGAGUGGAAUUCCUGGUGUAGCGGUGAAAUGCGCAGAUAUCAGGAAGAACACCCGUGGCUAAGGCGGCUCUCUAGUACGGUACUGACGCUGAGACGCGAAAGCGUGGGGAGCGAACAGG
RNAcentral lists this ribosomal RNA (255 nucleotides) under uncultured bacterium. RNAcentral's name for it is "partial 16S ribosomal RNA". It matches the Rfam family "Bacterial small subunit ribosomal RNA", at positions 524 to 776 of the family's 1533-position model. The record is from RNAcentral.